GGAUGUGAGGGUGAUCUGGCUGCGACAUCUGUCACCCCAUUGAUCGCCAGGGUUGAUUCGGCUGAUCUGGCUGGCUAGGCGGGUGUCCCCUUCCUCCCUCACAGCUCCAUGUGCGUCCCUCCCGAAGCUGCGCGCUCGGUCGAAGAGGACGACCAUCCCCGAUAGAGGAGGACCGUUCUUCAGUCAAGGGUAUACGAGUAGCUGCGCUCCCCUGCUAGAACCUCCAAACAAGUUCUCUAAAUAUUGCUUCUUUUUGUUUGAAGUUUUCAUGCUACAUCUAAAUGAAUUUCCUUAAAAAAUAUUUUGCUAUGUUGUCAGUUUACUUU
Molecule: small nuclear RNA, 326 nt
Filed under: Castor canadensis (American beaver)
Lineage: Eukaryota; Metazoa; Chordata; Mammalia; Rodentia; Castoridae
Description: 7SK RNA (ENSCCNG00000002455.1)
Rfam family: 7SK RNA
About the family: 7SK was discovered as an abundant small nuclear RNA in the mid-70s but a possible function has only recently been suggested.
Source: Rfam by way of RNAcentral